UACGUAGGAGGCAAGCGUUGUCCGGAAUUACUGGGCGUAAAGCGCGUGUAGGUGGUGGGACAAGUCUGCUGUGAAAGCGCCUGGCUUAACCGGGCGAGGUCGGCGGAAACUGUCGCACUCGAGGACGGUAGAGGGGGGUGGAAUUCCCGGUGUAGUGGUGAAAUGCGUAGAGAUCGGGAGGAACACCUAUUGCGAAGGCAGCUCGCUGGGACGUUACUGACGCUGAGACGCGAAAGCGUGGGGAGCAAACAGG
This 253-nucleotide ribosomal RNA is filed under the name uncultured bacterium. RNAcentral describes it as "partial 16S ribosomal RNA". It matches the Rfam family "Bacterial small subunit ribosomal RNA", at positions 524 to 776 of the family's 1533-position model. The record is from RNAcentral.